AUCUUUGCGCUUGGGGCAAUGACCCAGCUAGUGAGGUACUAACCGAGGCGCGUCUAUUGCUGAUUGAAAACUAUAUAUAACAGUGUAUAACAUGUCGUUAUACACUAUUAUACAGAAUGGAUACACUUGUUAUAUAAAAUAAAUGGGAAAAUCUCAUUUU
Molecule: small nuclear RNA, 160 nt
Filed under: Nicotiana attenuata
Lineage: Eukaryota; Viridiplantae; Streptophyta; Magnoliopsida; Solanales; Solanaceae
Description: snRNA U4
Rfam family: U4 spliceosomal RNA (bases 1-127)
About the family: U4 small nuclear RNA (U4 snRNA) is a component of the major U2-dependent spliceosome.
Source: RNAcentral